GUAGGGAGCAAGCGUUGUUCGGAAUUAUUGGGCGUAAAGAGCGCGUAGGCGGCUAGGCAAGUCCGGUGUGAAAUCCCACAGCUCAACUGUGGAACUGCAUUGGAAACUUCCUAGCUGGAGUGCGGGAGAGGAGAGUGGAAUUCCCAGUGUAGAGGUGAAAUUCGUAGAUAUUGGGAGGAACACCGGUGGCGAAGGCGGCUCUCUGGACCGCAACUGACGCUGAGGCGCGAAAGCUAGGGGAGCGAACGGGAUUAGAUACCCCGGUAGUCCUAGCCGUAAACGAUGGGCACUAGGUGUGGGAGGUAUCGACCCCUUCUGUGCCGCAGCUAACGCAUUAAGUGCCCCGCCUGGGGAGUACGGUCGCAAGACUA
This 371-nucleotide ribosomal RNA is filed under the name uncultured organism. RNAcentral's name for it is "partial 16S ribosomal RNA". It matches the Rfam family "Bacterial small subunit ribosomal RNA", at positions 527 to 896 of the family's 1533-position model. The record is from RNAcentral.